UACAGAGGUCCCAAGCGUUGUUCGGAUUUACUGGGCGUAAAGGGUGCGUAGGUGGCGGUGUGUGUCGGAUGUGAAAUCUCCGAGCUCAACUCGGAAAGUGCAUUGGAAACUACAUUGCUAGAGGGUUGGAGGGGGGACUGGAAUACUUGGUGUAGCAGUGAAAUGCGUAGAUAUCAAGUGGAACACCAGUGGCGAAGGCGAGUCCCUGGACAACUCCUGACACUGAGGCACGAAAGCUAGGGGAGCAAACAGG
RNAcentral lists this ribosomal RNA (253 nucleotides) under uncultured bacterium. RNAcentral's name for it is "partial 16S ribosomal RNA". It matches the Rfam family "Bacterial small subunit ribosomal RNA", at positions 524 to 776 of the family's 1533-position model. The record is from RNAcentral.